This 76-nucleotide transfer RNA is filed under the name Pseudomonadota bacterium. RNAcentral describes it as "Proteobacteria bacterium tRNA-Arg". It matches the Rfam family "tRNA". From Rfam's summary of the family: Transfer RNA (tRNA) molecules are approximately 80 nucleotides in length. Lineage: Bacteria; Pseudomonadati; Pseudomonadota. The record is from RNAcentral.
GCGUCUGUAGCUCAGUGGAUAGAGCACUGGCCUCCGAAGCCAGGGGCCACAGGUUCGAUUCCUGUCAGACGCGCCA